GGGACACGUGGUAUCCUGUCUGAAUAUGGGGGGACCAUCCUCCAAGGCUAAAUACUCCUGACUGACCGAUAGUGAACCAGUACCGUGAGGGAAAGGCGAAAAGAACCCCGGCGAGGGGAGUGAAAAAGAACCUGAAACCGUGUACGUACAAGCAGUGGGAGCCUCUUUAUGGGGUGACUGCGUACCUUUUGUAUAAUGGGUCAGCGACUUAUAUUCUGUAGCAAGGUUAACCGUAUAGGGGAGCCGAAGGGAAACCGAGUCUUAACUGGGCGUUAAGUUGCAGGGUAUAGACCCGAAACCCGGUGAUCUAGCCAUGGGCAGGUUGAAGGUUGGGUAACACUAACUGGAGGACCGAACCGACUAAUGUUGAAAAAUUAGCGGAUGACCUGUGGCUGGGGGUGAAAGGCCAAUCAAACCGGGAGAUAGCUGGUUCUCCCCGAAAGCUAUUUAGGUAGCGCCUCGUGAACUCAUCUUCGGGGGUAGAGCACUGUUUCGGCUAGGGGGCCAUCCCGGCUUACCAACCCGAUGCAAACUACGAAUACCGAAGAAUGUUAUCACGGGAGACACACGGCGGGUGCUAACGUCCGUCGUGAAGAGGGAAACAACCCAGA
Molecule: ribosomal RNA, 611 nt
Filed under: Enterobacter hormaechei subsp. xiangfangensis
Lineage: Bacteria; Pseudomonadati; Pseudomonadota; Gammaproteobacteria; Enterobacterales; Enterobacteriaceae
Description: partial 23S ribosomal RNA
Rfam family: Bacterial large subunit ribosomal RNA
Source: RNAcentral